Syngnathoides biaculeatus (alligator pipefish) is the source of this 993-nucleotide long non-coding RNA. RefSeq lists it as uncharacterized. The transcript has 4 exons. Lineage: Eukaryota; Metazoa; Chordata; Actinopteri; Syngnathiformes; Syngnathidae. The record is from RefSeq and is a predicted model, not a curated record.
CUGGAGGUAGCAGAAAUGAAGAUGCUGAGGUUCUUGUUUGGUGUGAGCAGGUUGGAUAGGAUUAGAAAUGAGCUCAUGAGAGGGACAGACAAAGUUGGAUGUUUUGGAGACAAGGUGAGAGAGAGCAGACUGGUUUGGAGAGUGAGCAUAUUGGUAGAAGGGUGCUGAGGAUGAAGCUGCCAGGCAAAAGAGUGAGAGGAAGACCAAAGAAACGGUUGAUGGAUGUUGUGAGGGAGGACAUGAGGACAGUGGGUGUUGGAGAAGAGGAUGCACGAGAUAGGCUUAGAUGGAAAAAGAUGACACGCUGUGGCGACCCCUAACGGGACAAGCCGAAAGGAAAAGAAGAAGACAAAGCUAACACUCGAAGCUCUCAAAUGAAGGGGAAAAAAAUCUGAUGAGAUGUCAUCCACAGAUCCUCACGGCGCAGCGGCGGCGUCGCACGGGAUCAUGUCUGAUGCCGCGGGAUGGAGCAGAUGGGUGCAGGUGCUUGAUCAAAUAUGAAUAAACCAAGCGCGACGGAACGAAGCCGCAUCGAGGACCCCGAGCGUCCGCGCGAGUCACGCCACGGCCUCUCCGCUCGGCAUCUCAACUGGUGUCCACUCGCCUGCAAAGAUGUACAAAUGGAAGGAAUGACUUGAGCCUCCUGAAGCAUGCAAGAACCCCCGACCACCUCCCACCCCCAACCCCCCCCCCCCCCCCCCUUCCCUGCAGAGUCUAUCCUCUCACUGUCCAUGUCAGGCUUUGCUUCUUCCUUUCUCUGAGACUGAGAAAGGUGUUACACGCGAUUGUUUUUUUUUUUUUUUUUCCUUUUGGUCGCCCCCUUUUAUCCCCCGACGGUGACGGAGCAGGAAGGGGGAGGAGUUUGUUAGUCGGUCACCACAGCCGCCACACGCACAAUAAACACGCACAAUGGAGCGCACAAACACGGCGACGUGGAGUGGAGCAAGCGAGAGACGGAAAAGCGAGAGAAAGAGAGGAAGACGGGGGGAAUGG